UGGGGAAUAUUGGACAAUGGGCGCAAGCCUGAUCCAGCCAUGCCGCGUGAGUGACGAAGGUCUUCGGAUUGUAAAGCUCUUUUAAGCAGGGAAGAUAAUGACGGUACCUGCAGAAUAAGCCCCGGCUAACUUCGUGCCAGCAGCCGCGGUAAUACGAAGGGGGCUAGCGUUGUUCGGAAUUACUGGGCGUAAAGCGCACGUAGGCGGAUUGAUAAGUUAGAGGUGAAAUCCCGGGGCUCAACCUCGGAACUGCCUUUGAUACUGUUAGUCUCGAGUCCGAUAGAGGUGAGUGGAAUUCCUAGUGUAGAGGUGAAAUUCGUAGAUAUUAGGAAGAACACCAGUGGCGAAGGCGGCUCACUGGAUCGGUACUGACGCUGAGGUGCGAAAGCGUGGGGAGCAAACAGGAUUAGAUACCCCAGUAGUCCCUGAGCGGGCUGGCAAGGCGCAU
This 448-nucleotide ribosomal RNA is filed under the name uncultured bacterium. Its description in RNAcentral is "bacterial SSU rRNA". It matches the Rfam family "Bacterial small subunit ribosomal RNA", at positions 355 to 825 of the family's 1533-position model. The record is from RNAcentral.